CAGUCGCCGCGGUAAUACGGAGGGUGCAAGCGUUAAUCGGAAUUACUGGGCGUAAAGCGCACGCAGGCGGUUUGUUAAGUCAGAUGUGAAAUCCCCGAGCUUAACUUGGGAACUGCAUUUGAAACUGGCAAGCUAGAGUCUUGUAGAGGGGGGUAGAAUUCCAGGUGUAGCGGUGAAAUGCGUAGAGAUCUGGAGGAAUACCGGUGGCGAAGGCGGCCCCCUGGACAAAGACUGACGCUCAGGUGCGAAAGCGUGGGGAGCAACCAGGAUUAGAUACCCCAGUAGUCCCUGUCUCUUAUCA
RNAcentral lists this ribosomal RNA (301 nucleotides) under uncultured bacterium. RNAcentral's name for it is "partial 16S ribosomal RNA". It matches the Rfam family "Bacterial small subunit ribosomal RNA", at positions 509 to 809 of the family's 1533-position model. The record is from RNAcentral.